RNAcentral lists this non-coding RNA (125 nucleotides) under Streptomyces kanasensis. RNAcentral's name for it is "Streptomyces sp. ZX01 Streptomyces RNA 3920". It matches the Rfam family "Streptomyces RNA 3920". From Rfam's summary of the family: Identified by deep sequencing of transcriptome at the end of exponential growth phase. Sequencing size consistent with northern blot size. Streptomyces specific. Lineage: Bacteria; Bacillati; Actinomycetota; Actinomycetes; Kitasatosporales; Streptomycetaceae. The record is from Rfam by way of RNAcentral.
GAUAGGGCGCUGUCGUCAGCGUGAUGGGACACUGACGUAGGGUCAAUUAGCCUGGCUCAGGCCGGAUUCCGGCGACACCAGGUGGGCGGUCCGAGCCACGAGGGGGGAGGCUCGGACCGCCCGUC